Cornus florida is the source of this 1067-nucleotide RNA transcript. It is a transcript of the gene named uroporphyrinogen-III synthase, chloroplastic, with no coding region annotated. The record is from RefSeq and is a predicted model, not a curated record. Lineage: Eukaryota; Viridiplantae; Streptophyta; Magnoliopsida; Cornales; Cornaceae. The transcript has 10 exons.
UAACAGCUGGCCUUCUUCGACAAUUCUACACGCAACACGUUACCACGGAAAAUGUCUCCGCUUUCUCUCUCUACUCUCUCUCCUCUUCCACCUCCGUCGUCUUCGUCGUCUUCUCCGCAGCUUCACCGGCGAAUCUUUUUUCGCUCUCUCAGAGUCGAAGCUUCGUCGUCGUCUUCGAAUUUCAGUCCUAAAGUUGUUGUGACCAGAGAACGAGGCAAGAAUGGCAAGCUCAUCAAUGCCCUGGCUGAACAAGGGAUUGACUGUUUGGAGCUUCCCCUCAUUCAGCACACGAAGUUGCCUGAUUUGCAUACGCUUUCUUCUGUAUUAAGCACAGACACAGCUUUUGACUGGAUCGUCAUAACUUCUCCUGAAGCAGGUUUAGUUUUUCUCGAUGCUUGGAAGGCUGCUGGAACCCCAAAUGUUAAGGUAGGCGUGGUGGGAGCUGGUACAGCGAGUAUAUUCGAGGAAGCAUCACAGUCAUCAAAGCGAUCUCUCCAUGUUGCCUUCACACCAUCAAAAGCUACUGGUAAGGUUUUGGCUUCAGAGCUUCCAAAACUUGGGAAUAAGAAAUGUGCUGUGUUAUAUCCGGCUUCUGCAAAAGCUGGCAGUGAGAUUGAAGAAGGUUUGUCUAGUCGCGGAUUUCAGGUCACACGACUGAAUACAUACACAACGGUGCCUGUUCAUGAUGUUGACCAACUAGUUUUAAAGCAGGCACUUUCUGCUCCUGUUGUUGCCGUAGCGUCACCUUCUGCAGCUCGUGUCUGGGUUAAUCUUAUAUCAGAAUCAGAACAGUGGGGCAAUUCAGUUGCAUGCAUCGGUGAGACAACUGCUUUGGCUGCAAAAAGAUUAGGCUUGAGAAACGUAUACUACCCAACAAAUCCUGGUCUAGAAGGGAUUUGUCUUACGUGAUUCUAAUAAUUGAUGGAUGUUCUCUAUUUUGAGAUUGUACUGCAAUGACUCCAUAUUUUCCAAAUGGGUAGAUAGCAUUCUUGAAGCCUUAAAAAGUCCAUGACCAAUUCCAAGAGGUCUAACAGUGGCCAUGCCUGCAGCUUGCUAAUUUUCCCCAG